Molecule: ribosomal RNA, 439 nt
Filed under: uncultured bacterium
Lineage: Bacteria
Description: partial 16S ribosomal RNA
Rfam family: Bacterial small subunit ribosomal RNA
Source: RNAcentral
CUACGGGGUGCAGCAGUGAGGAAUAUUGCACAAUGGGGGAGACCCUGAUGCAGCAACGCCGCGUGGAGGAUGACGCAUUUCGGUGUGUAAACUCCUUUUAUGAGUCAAGAAAAUGACGGUAGCUCAUGAAUAAGCACCGGCUAACUCCGUGCCAGCAGCCGCGGUAAUACGGAGGGUGCAAGCGUUACUCGGAAUCACUGGGCGUAAAGGACGCGUAGGCGGGAUGUCAAGUCAGGUGUGAAAUCCUAUGGCUCAACCAUAGAACUGCACUUGAAACUGGCAACCUAGAGUAUGGGAGGGGGAGAUGGAAUUAGUGGUGUAGGGGUAAAAUCCGUAGAUAUCACUAGGAAUACCUAAAGCGAAGGCGAUCCCCUGGAACAUUACUGACGCUAAGGCGUGAAAGCGUGGGGAGCAAACAGGAUUAGAUACCCUCGUAGUC